Molecule: small RNA, 282 nt
Filed under: Pan troglodytes (chimpanzee)
Lineage: Eukaryota; Metazoa; Chordata; Mammalia; Primates; Hominidae
Description: processed transcript
Source: RNAcentral
UUGCUGCUCUCUGUGUCUGUGACUUAUCCCCAGCACAGUGUGACGUCAACUGCUGCUGUGAUCCCGACUGCAGCUCCGUGGAUUUCAGUGUCUUUUCUGCCUGCUCAGUUCCAGUUGUCACGGGUGACAGCCAGUUUUGUAGUCAAAAAGCAGUCAUCUAUUCAUUGAAUUUUACAGCAAACCCACCUCAAAGAGUAUUUGAACUUGUUGACCAGAUUAAUCCAUCUAUUUUCUGCAUUCAUAUUACAAACUAAGUACCUGAUGAAAACAAUUUUGAUACAU